UAAUAGCGUAUAUUAAAGUUGUUGCAGUUAAAAAGCUCGUAGUUGGAUCUCGGGGAAGGACCAGCUGUCCGCUGAGGUGAGAUGGCUGAGCCUGCCCUUUUUUUCCGGGGACCACGUUGCUCUUGGUUGAGGGACGUUGGGACACGGAUCGUUUACUUUGAAAAAAUUAGAGUGUUCAAAGCAGGCCUUCGCUUGAAUACAUUAGCAUGGAAUGAUGGAAUAGGACUUCGGUGCUAUUUCGUUGGUUUCUAGAACCGAAGUAAUGAUUAAUAGGGAUAGUUGGGGGCGUUCAUAUUCCGUUGUCAGAGGUGAAAUUCUUGGAUUUACGGAAGAUGAACUUCUGCGAAAGCAUUCGCCAAGGAUGUUUUCAUUAA
RNAcentral lists this ribosomal RNA (374 nucleotides) under uncultured eukaryote. RNAcentral describes it as "partial 18S ribosomal RNA". It matches the Rfam family "Eukaryotic small subunit ribosomal RNA", at positions 592 to 976 of the family's 1831-position model. The record is from RNAcentral.